GAGACAGAGGGACUGUCCGGCAUCAGGAAGGGGGCACUUGGCCUCCAUCUUGGGCAACCUCGCCUCCUGGAAGCCAUUGAGCUUCCAGAGGUCUCUCGUGUGGAACCCCAUGUCUUGUCAGCCAGAGCCAGGUCCAGAAUCCACAGCAUCACCAUGGCGGCGGCGGCGGCGGCGCGCAGGUGGCAGGACACCGAUGCCUAGCGAGAUGUCGCGGAAGAAGGCCUGGUGAGAGCCUAGAUAAUAAAGGGAAUAUCUGAUAAUCUUUUAAUUUAAGAAAUAGGCUUAUGCUGAAGCCAAACCAAUCAAUGUGUUCUGUGAAGCUAUAUCUUCACCUGGCUAGAACCUAAACAACAACCAGCCUUGUGAUCCAGAAAGGCUCCAGCAUAUUCUGCGCUUCAUGUAAAAGGUGCAGCACGGUACAGCUACCUCCACAAGCAUUGAUCAUACAACCUUGCCAGUUUGUUUCUUUAGCAAAUCAAAAUAAAGGCAGUAAGCAGUGUAUAUCAAAUGGAAUAAAUAAGAAAUAGUAGUGCAAGGUAAAUCGCAUAUUCAAUGACUUUUGCCCUUUCAGAUUAAGAAGAUAUGCUGUUCAACUAGAAAUUCCAAACCAAUCGUUGUUUUUGCAGCUAUACUUUACCUGACUAGAGCCUAAACAAUAAAGGGAAUAUCUGAAAUUCUUCUAAUUAAGAAAGUAGGGCAUCCAUUAGAAUAUGACAAACCAAUCAAUGUUUUUCUGAAGCCAUCUUCAUCUGGCUAGAACCUAAACAACAACCAGCCCUGCGACACAUACAGUCCACCAAUCCCGUUAAGGGCAGGAAGUCUGAGUGUAUUCUGCGCUUCAUGUAAAAAACGCAGCACGGUACAGCUACCUCCACAUGCAUUGCUCAUACAACUUUUUUCGAUAAGGGAGGCUUUCUCAUGCAACUUUUUUUUUUUCAUACGAAACGAACGCAGCAAGCAGUGUAGCUUGUGAAAGCAACGGACCUGGAAUCGAUGAUCUUGACGCUUGUCUUCAUGCCCGGCCUGGACCAGUUGUACGCGAUGGAGCCCCCAAUCCC
This 1058-nucleotide long non-coding RNA is filed under the name Panicum hallii. RNAcentral describes it as "long non-coding RNA (PHAL_LNC000852)". Lineage: Eukaryota; Viridiplantae; Streptophyta; Magnoliopsida; Poales; Poaceae. The record is from RNAcentral.